UACGUAGGUCCCGAGCGUUGUCCGGAUUUAUUGGGCGUAAAGCGAGCGCAGGUGGUUUAAUAAGUCUGAUGUAAAAGGCAGUGGCUCAACCAUUGUGUGCAUUGGAAACUGUUAGACUUGAGUGCAGUAGAGGAGAGUGGAAUUCCAUGUGUAGCGGUGAAAUGCGUAGAUAUAUGGAGGAACACCGGUGGCGAAAGCGGCUCUCUGGACUGUCACUGACACUGAGGCUCGAAAGCGUGGGUAGCAAACA
This 250-nucleotide ribosomal RNA is filed under the name uncultured bacterium. RNAcentral's name for it is "partial 16S ribosomal RNA". It matches the Rfam family "Bacterial small subunit ribosomal RNA", at positions 524 to 774 of the family's 1533-position model. The record is from RNAcentral.